This 162-nucleotide long non-coding RNA is filed under the name Chinchilla lanigera (long-tailed chinchilla). Its description in RNAcentral is "lncRNA (ENSCLAG00000025798.1)". The record is from RNAcentral. Lineage: Eukaryota; Metazoa; Chordata; Mammalia; Rodentia; Chinchillidae.
CAUUUUUUCUGAGUGUUCUUUCCCUUACAGGGGCCAAAAAGGUGGUUCAGCUGGGGGAGCUGAGCAAGGAGCCUGACUGGUGGUGCAUGCAGUCCUGGGGGAGAGAGAGUGCUGCAGGAGCAGGUGGGUCUCUCCACAAGCCUCCAUCUUGGAUUUUGGGGA